GAAAAGUUCCAUCAAAUUUAAUUUUAUAGAAGUAUUUGGAGUCCGCCCGGUACUAACCAGAAGCUUGCGCCGCAGUAGUUUCAGCACCGCCCAAAUUCACCCGAAUUCAAAACCCUUCUGUUUACUGUAAAAGUCAGGGUUAGGGUUCUUUAACUUUCAGCACUGAGAUUAGGGUUUUUCUGCCUGCAUUCUCUGUAAUUUGGGGUUCACUCGCUGCACUAAAGGAGCGAGUGUAUGCAGAGGAGAGUGGCUUUAGUGUUGCAGGGUUUAGUUUUGAGUAUAGAGGUUUUCUCAAGUUCUGGCUAAAGGGUUCAGUAGUGACUUAUGGGAAAUUAGGGUUUUUGAGUUCAAGUUAUGGAGCAUUUGGGAGCAGGGAUGAGUUGACUGAUGUACAAUUUGUGAAAGAUUUGCUUCCGUUGUUGGGUUUGAAUUGUGUUUCUGCUCUGAUUGAAAUGCUGAUUUUUUCCAUUUUUCACUGCAAAUUAUGGUAGUCUCAAUCUAAACAUGUAGAAGGAUUGCCACUGUAUCAGCUCGAAUGCUAGGGUUUCCAUUUUUGUGGUUGAAACUCUGGCAUUUUUCAUGCUAUCAACUGGAAGUUAGGGUAUCUUGACUUCGUAGAUGGAAUGCAGCAUUUAAUGGUGGAUAUCAACGUAAUGUUGCUGAGCGAUGUCCAUAUCAUUUCCAAAAUUGGAAUCUUCAUUGCUCUGACCGAGUAGUUGGGCUUUAUGUUUUCACAAAUAUUUAGGGUUUCAGCACUCUAUUGAUGGAGCAGGUUGAGACUGACAUCAAUAGAGUACUACAGGAUCAUCAUAAGAUCAGUUCAAAUGUGAGAAGUGAAGAGGCAAAGAUAGAUAGGUUAAGCAGAGAAAUCAAGGAUUUGGAAGAGAGAGUGAGAAUUGGCGAAUCAAGCGAGCUUGAUAGGCAAAGGAUGCAUAAUUUACUGAAUUAUCAGUCCACUCUUAUUAUGCGAGCAUCAUCACGAACACAGCUCCUUCGUGCACUCCAUGAAGACCUUCUUGUGCUCUUUACCAGGAGGAAGCAACUUCGACAAACUGAUACUACAGGUGGGUCUUCUGUUGAUGCAAUGCCUAAUGUUUCUCUCAGCUCUGGGUUAUCAAGUGGAGAUGAUGAUAAUCAAGAGUUCCCUAGCGACUGUUCAUUGCCUGUGUCAUUGGAUAUUUUGAGAAUGAAUGAUGAUCACAAUGAAAACUUGGAUGAAGUGACCACUGAGCAGGAGCAACUACCGCUAAGUUUGAAAAUGCUUCAAAUUAAUAUGAAUGAGGAUGCAUGCUUGACUCAAGAUGAUGGCGGUGCGUAUGGGGAUCUCCAAUAUAAGAAUAAUAUCCUUGAUAACAUUGCAAUGAGCAUUUUAGAUCCAAAUACCAAUGUUGAUAACAUUUUUAAAGAAGCAAUGGAAAAUUCCGAGUUCCCCUGUGAGGAUAGUGAAGGUUCAAAAAAGGUAUCUAGGAGAACGGGGAAAGUAACUUACCGUAAUUUACCAAGGCGUUUGACUGUGGACUUUGACGAAAGCGGCAAUCCUACCGGCCCAAAUGCUGGGGGCUUUAAAAGAUCAAUUAAUUCAUAUGUCUGCCAUUUUUUGCCUGUCAACUUUAAGCAAAUUGGUGAUGUUCCUGUUGAAGAUUACAAGGCAGUUCUGAAUGUGUUGACGGAAAGAUAUAAUUUUGACCUUAAUCGGAGCUAUACGCGCAAAAAAAUCUCAUCUUGUUAUCGACAACACAAGUACAAGCUAUUGGUCCAGGUCAAGAAAGACUUUGAUAGAGGUGUUGAGCCACAAAAACCAUCCUAUGUUAAACAAGAGGACUGGGAUGCAUUUGUGGCUAAGACCAAAGAUGAAGAAUUUGAUAGGAUCAGUAAGAAGAAUAAAGCCAGCAGGAGUCAACAGAGUUCUCUUAACCGCAAGGGUCUCUUGGGUGCCUCUGUCCAUAAAAGGAAGCUGAAAGGAUCAGACCAAAGUGAUAUGGUGGAUAUUAUGUGGUCAAAGGUCGUCCGAGGAAGUUAUUAGCAGCUGUGGAAGAAGACCAUGAUGUCGUGGACAAUAACCGUCUAACUACUAACCAAGAGGUUGUUGAAUAACAGGUUUAAAGCAUCCAUCAUUUUUUAGCUAAUAUCUUGGUAGUGAUUGUAGAAGUACAGUCAUAAUAGGACUCGUAACGUGCAUUUCAUGUGUUAAAAUGUCUAUGAGACAUAAGUUUGUAACAUCUCACUAUUUGUAACAUCAUUUGUAGUCAAUCCAUAAGCUACUCGGUUUGCAAUUGUGUGGGAAUAUGUAUCAACUGUGCACUUCAUAUCAUACAACCUAAGUUCCCAAAAUGUACGAAAAUCUGCCCUAGUAGCCAGCUAGCUAAUUUGUUUGCCGUUAUGAUUGUCAAAGGUCUUGAAGCAUCUCUAUGUUGGUGGGAUAAUAUAGGGUCCAUCUGCAACACAGUCUCUUUUAACUGUUGCAAUUUAGUGGAAUAAGCUUGGUGUAUAUGAGGUUCAUAUGCCAUUUUGUAUUUAAUAGAUUGAACUCUUUUUAAUCAUGCUAGAGGCUAGAUCUAAUGGUCAAUAGUAGUUGGUUUCUUUAAUGUUCUUGGUUAUUAUUACUGAAUUUGGGUGGUGAAACCCAACAUGGAAAGAAAAAUCAUGGUUUCAUGAUUAGCUGGGGUUUUUCAUGAGAUACAGUAUCCUUUCGUGGCAAAUUUCAUCAGAGAUUGAAAAAUUAUUGUGGGUUUCAGUUUUUCUUUUGCCAUUUGUUUCAAGUUAAUAUAGGGUGUAAUUUUGUUUCUUAUGUGCGUAUAAAGAUUGCCAGUUCUCUCAUAUGACCGAUGCACUCAAGUGGCUGUGUUGAUUUUCUUAUCCAUAUGCUUCUCUUUAGUAAGGAUUGUUGUAGGCGAUUUGCAAAGUCCUUAAGGCCUGUAGUUUGUGAUUUGACAAGAGCUGUGGGCUUGUGAACCAGGAUUUCGGGUCUCUCCGACCCAUGAAGACUUAUUCAACUAAUGAUGCAACCCUUCAGUUUGAAUAUUGGAAUUCAACGUGACGUCAUUCUAUGAGUUCGGGCCAUUUUAUCCCUGCAUUUGCACUCUCCCUUAAUUUUAUUUCUGUACCUUCUGUGGAUAUGUUUCCAUGUCCAUUGAUUUGAAGCUGCUAUUUCAUUGUACAGACAUCUCAUUGAUCCACCCGCCCCCCCCCCCCCCCAAAACAAUUGUUGGGAAUGUAGUGUGUCUUAGUUUUGAUAAAUGUAGCCGUCCCCAAGAAGCCAGCAUUUCAAUGGUUGACAAGAUGUCUUCAAGAUGGCAAACAAGUUGUACAUAGACAAUUGAAGGCUGUUGUUGAUUGAAGAAUCAAAGGUGCGCCAAUUUGGAAGGAAAACAACAGAGAGAGAGAUAAGAAAACUGGCCUGAAUGUUGAGAGGGGUGAACCUUGGCAAGAGCCAUCCUCACCAAGCUGGGGGUCUUUUAUCAGCCAAUGAGAGGAAUUAGAGUAAGCUCAAUGUGAUUGUUACAUAAAUGUGAAUAGUUGAAAAUUGAUUGAGCCAUGCCUUUUUUAUGGCCCGUUGUUUCUUGAUUGGCUUUUCCUUUAUUGAGUCUUGAUUCCGUUGACUGUUGAGUGUGAAGCUGUGAAUUCAUGGCUUGGAGGCAGCCUUUCGGUCUGUAUUUUCUUUCCUGAUUUGCCUGGUUGGUAUUUUCUUCUUUGGACUCUUCAGUCAUGUUCUUUCUUUAGUGUUUUAUCAAUGAGUCUUUUUGUUUGGUGCCA
Molecule: non-coding RNA, 3753 nt
Organism: Amborella trichopoda
Lineage: Eukaryota; Viridiplantae; Streptophyta; Magnoliopsida; Amborellales; Amborellaceae
Source: RefSeq, a predicted model, not a curated record